AAGACCUUGCGCUUUUAGAGCGGCCGAMGCCUGAUUAGCUUGUUGGUAAGGUAAAGGCUUACCAAGGCUUCGAUCAGUAGCUGGUCUGAGAGGACGACCAGCCACACUGGGACUGAGACACGGCCCAGACUCCUACGGGAGGCAGCAGUGGGGAAUUUUGGACAAUGGGGGCAACCCUGAUCCAGCCAUGCCGCGUGAGUGAAGAAGGCCUUCGGGUUGUAAAGCUCUUUCAGCCGGAACGAAACGGUUACGGUUAAUACCCGUGACUAAUGACGGUACCGGAAGAAGAAGCACCGGCUAACUACGUGCCAGCAGCCGCGGUAAUACGUAGGGUGCGAGCGUUAAUCGGAAUUACUGGGCGUAAAGCGUGCGCAGGUGGUUUUGUAAGUCAGAUGUGAAAGCCCCGGGCUCAACCUGGGAACU
RNAcentral lists this ribosomal RNA (423 nucleotides) under uncultured bacterium. RNAcentral's name for it is "bacterial SSU rRNA". It matches the Rfam family "Bacterial small subunit ribosomal RNA", at positions 207 to 622 of the family's 1533-position model. The record is from RNAcentral.